AGGACGAACGCUGGCGGCGUGCUUAACACAUGCAAGUCGAGCGGAAAGGCCCUUCGGGGUACUCGAGCGGCGAACGGGUGAGUAACACGUGAGUAAUCUGCCCCUAGCUCUGGGAUAGCUCCGGGAAACCGGGAUUAAUACCGGAUACGACCACCUUGGACAUCUUUUGUGGUGGAAAGAAUUUCGGCUAGGGAUGAGCUCGCGGCCUAUCAGCUUGUUGGUGGGGUAACGGCCUACCAAGGCGACGACGGGUA
This 254-nucleotide ribosomal RNA is filed under the name uncultured bacterium. Its description in RNAcentral is "partial small subunit ribosomal RNA". It matches the Rfam family "Bacterial small subunit ribosomal RNA", at positions 26 to 285 of the family's 1533-position model. The record is from RNAcentral.